This is a long non-coding RNA of Gallus gallus (chicken), 2767 nucleotides long. RefSeq lists it as uncharacterized. NCBI's taxonomy places the organism in Eukaryota, Metazoa, Chordata, Aves, Galliformes, Phasianidae. The transcript is spliced from 4 exons. The record is from RefSeq and is a predicted model, not a curated record.
UGGGACCUCACAAGGGCUGAGCAGAGAGAGACAAUCACCUCUCUCACCCUGCUGGCCACCCCUCUUUUGAUGAAGCCCAGGAUACUGUUGGCUUUCUGGGCUAAAAGCACACAUUGCUGGCACAUUCCCAGCUUUUCAUCACUGGGAACCCAAGGUCCUUCUCCCAAUCUGCAUUCAUAUCUGGGAUUGUCCUGAUCCAAGUGCAGCACCAUGUACUUGGCCUUGUAGUACAUCAUAAAAUAACAUAUAAUCCACAUAGUGCAUAGAGUAUUCUGUCUAUUUUAUUUAUUAUUGCUGUUAUUACUAUAUUCUGCUCUGGCCACUGGAGACAAUAGGCAUAUAUUUUGCAGUGGACAGUUAAGGGUUGUCAAAUAAUUGGAUGGACUUUUUUCAUGUCUAAUCAUUUACAGAUUUGUUUAUACUCUAAUGUUCAAGUGUUCCUGUCCUGAUAUAUCUUGUCUAGGAAAGAAAGCACUCACACCAGCCACCACCACGUAAGUAAAACUUUGCAGAGCCACCUCAGUGAAUGUGAGGGACGAAGUGCUGAGGUCCUGCUCCCUGUUGGGUCAGCCAUCACCAACAUCCUCUUUGGUGCCAAACAAAAGGAGGAAUCGCAGGAUGAGAAUUUUGGCAAGAUGGAGAGCAGAUCUCUGGAAGGGUUUGUUCCAGUCUUACUCCUAAGUGGACCCUUCCUGUCACCCAUUAAUAAGUGGUUCGAUUCAUUAAUGCCGUAUUUUGUUUUGGUAAUGAUAGUCUGGGAGAUGGUGGAAACCCUUCAAAUACAGAGAUCAUCUUGCUGGGAGAGGCAGAGUGCUGCGUUUGUUUUUUGCUCAAUUAACAUUUGAAACUAAAUCACCAGAUUUGGUGGGAAUUCCUUCUCUAACUUUAAAGAGUACUGAAGCCUCAUGUAGUUUUGGUGGUUCUCCACAAAAGUUUUCAGUUUGUUUCUUGGUAUGUUCCACUUAAGUUUGCAGUAAGCUGCUGCUGGUGGCUCUUCUAAUAUACACAUUGCAAGAAAGACCAAAGGAUUGUAAUGCUAGAAUUGAAACAGAAAAUUGAGGUUUGUGCAAGGUUUGAAAAGUAGAAAUUUAUUUCUGCAUCCAGGGAAGAAGCGUGGCCUGUUGGGUAGAGCAGAAACAAAGCCAGGGCAGAUUUCUGGAUUUUAUUGCUGGCUUUGUUAUUGGCUGCAGUGAGACUUUAUUUGUGCUCCCACUUCCUGUUUUUAAGAUGAGGGCUAUACCAGCUGCAAGGGUGAAAACCAGUGGCUUUGCAAGAGCUUUGUCUCAUAGGCAGAAAAAAAAUGGAGAUGUCUUCUGUCACAAACAGUAUCUAGCCUUUAAAGUAACUCAGUUGAAGUAGUAAAUGCCCAUAUUAAAGAAAUCAACAGGUUUUAAGCACAUUUUUAACAAGAGCCUUUAAAUAUAUUGGGACCCAUCCCACCACUCAAUCCAGAAUUCUUUUGCUUGCUAAGAUACAGUAUGUGAGCGGAGCAAGGAGGAGGAAAACAUGAUUUUGCGUCUGACGUUUCAGAAAAUAAUACGUUGCAUGGGACUUUCUCCAACUUGUAGUCACUGGGAAAACUUUCUCUGGAGUCAACUGGCAAUUGACUAGCGCCAUGGAACGGACUUUUUUGACAGGAAAUAAGUGUCAAGUGCUGGCAUUUUGCAACUGUUCACUUUCCCAGGUGCAAAUGACACUGCAAGACUAGAAGAUCUGAGCCCUAUGAAGCUGAGCAAGUGUAACCACAAUGCCUCACUGGGGCUGUUUGGCUCUGGCCUAAGAGUUGGAAGAGCUGUAUCUUUGUUUUGAAGAGAAAAAACAAGCUUUGGAAAUGAUGCUUUGUGCCCAUGCAGCAAGCUGUGCUGUGGGCUCCCCGCUCUGCAAAGCACUGCAGCCUCCUUCCCCUGGGCCAGGGCAUGAGGCAGAGAGAAAUGAUGCUGUGCCUACCGCUGUAGUAUCACCAGCUCAGACCUGAAGCUGUCCAUAUACCAUAAGGUACCGUCCCAACAGCAGAAAAUAAGCAGCUUCACUAGGUGUUUUGAAUCACUGCAACACCCAGUUUGCCCCAUAAAAUCAGGACUGCAGAGGUCGAAGUCAAAAUGCUUGUUUGAUGGGCUUAAGGAGACAGAUGAAACAACAAAACCUUUCCCUCUGUCCCCAGAAAACAUUUGGACAUUUGCAUGCAGUGAGAUGUGCAAUAGGCCAGGAAUAAAUUAAGUGCAGAAUCUCUGCUCCUUUAAUGAAAUAAUCUGCUAAACUGAUGUUUGUACGUAAUUCAAAGGAAAUCCUUUUGAAGACAUAUGGUCUUUUCAUUGUGCUCCAUUCUGGCUCAAGUUUCACUGUACUAACAAAAUAGAUAAACUGUUGAUGAACCUGAUUCCUUUGCUUUUUUCAAGGUUCCUCUGAGUAUUUCUAACCUUACAGAUUCAAGCUUGUCCAAGCACAGAGUUUUGUGUCUCGGUUUCUUCCCCUUGACAAAAAUGGAGGACUGAAGCAGAGAUGGGAUUGUGCUGGAUGCACCACUGACAGGGCUGGAGUGCUGAUCAUACCAUAUUGCAGAAAUGCAAGACGUUCUUGGUUAAUCUGGAAAAGACUCACCGAAUCCAAGCAAAACAGCAAAUGAUUCUGCUGAAAGCAAGGGAAGAGUAAGCUAAGUGUGAGCAGCAAGGUCUGGUUUGGCUAAGUCUUUGACACACAACAAAGAUCUGUGCCCACACCUGGUGCCCUAGGCUGACUAAACUGGUGACAACCACUAAUACCUCUAAUC